Macaca fascicularis (crab-eating macaque) is the source of this 2558-nucleotide long non-coding RNA. The record is from Ensembl. Lineage: Eukaryota; Metazoa; Chordata; Mammalia; Primates; Cercopithecidae.
UUCUUUGAGUCAAUAAUUUUAUUUCUAUUAUUUUUCACACUGAGGAGACUUAGUUAUAUAAAGUGAUAUUCUAUGAAUUGAUUAUCAGUAGUAGAAGCACAAAGGUGUGGACAGUGAAACAACAAGAAACACCCUUUAUCAGAAUGAAGUCCAUGUGAGACAGAAGUACGUACUCCAAACAGCCUAUGUACAAAUAAAUAGCUUCCUGUCUAUGUACAAACACAUUCACAGAGAAUAAACUGACAUAGUAUCGCCAUGUAUCUCAUCAUCCAGUGAAAAUUGCUCAUAAUAAACAUAACACAUAUAAAAUGACAAGUAAUUUGGAAGUGCAUCCACUGGAUUUUUGUAGGGGUGAGGAUAGGGGUUACAAUGCUCCUUUAAAAUGGAGGUGAACAAAGGAAGCAUGAGACCACGUCUAUCCUAAAAAAGAUCCUUUACAAAAAUGGCAUUCUGAUAUUUUUAACAUAACCUGUCUAAAAGACAGUUUAUAUGUUAUAGAGCAAAUGUCUAUGUUGGUGUCAAUGUUGACAACAUUUUCUUUGUUUUAACCAUAUCUGAAGAACAAAAGUGUAAUUUCUCUUUCUUUUAGUGCUAGCAGCAACUUCACUGAAUCAAGAAGGUAGCUUUUGCUAUUCUUAGUUUUGAUGGCUUUUUGAGUCUGGAUUGCUUGAAGGUGGAAGCUGUUGCUUCCGGAGUCUUUUGACUUGAGCAGAAGAAAUAUCAAGGCUAGAUGCAGGGCAUAUAUGUGUACUUUGUGUUCAGGGUUCAAUAGCACGAUUUGGUAACAGAGGAUCCCUCUUCCGAAUAGUCUCAGCCCUUUAGAGAAACUCUUCAGACCACAAAACUGCCUCUAACAGAGGACUAUCACUGGCCCUUGGUUCAGAUACCCUUUGCUUAGGGCAAUUUGGCCAUUUAACAUAAAGUUGAUGGGGUUGUCUAAUUUAGUACCCAUGUUUACUCUAUAUAGAUAAUUUAGGUAUCCAGUUCUGGUGGAUAUUUCUAGACUAUUAAGUGCUUUUUAGUAAUUAUUUUACUUUUACUCAAAUUAUAUAAAAGGGCUGGGUAUGGUGGCUCAUGCCUUUAAUCCCAGCACUUUGGGAAGCAAAAGCAGGAGGAUCUCUUGAGCCCAGGAGUUUGAGACCAGCCUUUGUAACAUAGUGAGACCCUAUCUCUUAACAACAACAACAAUUAGCCAGGCAUGGUGGCAUGUGCCUGAGGUCCCAGCUACUCAGGAGGCUGAGGUGGGAGGAUCGCUUGAGUUCAGGUGUUUGAGGUGACACUGAGCUAUGAUUGCACCACUGCACUCUAGCCUGGGUGACACAGUGAGACCCUGUCUGUUAAAAAAAAAAAAUUAUAUAAAAAUUUGUGAUGAAGUAAAACAUUAAAGUUUUUAGUUGUGGGGACAUCUUUAUGUAUGUGUGUGUAAACUGCACGAUACUAGGUUAGAACUUGUGUAUUUUAGCAGAGAGGAGGAAAAUAACCACCAAAGCAUUAUGAAGUCUGCUGUCCUACGUGUCCUCUGAAGGAAGGUUAAUAAUUUAGGCAUAAGGAAUUAUUGAAAAAUUGUAUGUCUCUAUUUGCCAUUUUUAUAAGGGAACUUCUUACACCCAUCCUAUAUUUAUAUAAAAGCUCAAACACAUCCUACAUUUCCCAGGUAUAUGUUUGCUAAUUAUCUAUUUCAUUCUCCAUAUGGGUGAACUUUGCUUUACAUAACAAAAUGGAUUCCUGAAAAAAAUCUACAAUUUUAAAAUAAUUUCCAUGUAGUAUUAGAACUUGCUAAAUAAACUGUAAUAAGCUAUUUUGAAAACGAAGAAUGCUUUUGUGAAAUGAAUAAUUUCUUUGAUUUUCAAACAGUUUUAUUAAAGCACACAUCUAAAAUUUAUAAGUAGAUUAGGAUUGCCUAGAACCAAUAAUUGUAGUUAAUAAAAAUAGAACAGAUAAACUCCAAUUUACAAUAAACAAUACAAAACAGGAAUGACUCAUGGACUGCUUAUUGAUUGACUAUAUUCAGAAGCCCUGAAUAUAUGUAUUAUUGGUAUUUUAUGGCUUUAAUUAAGACAAUUGUCUCUUAUGAAGUACUAUAAAGUGCAAUAUUAAAAAAUUAAAAAACCCAAAAGGCAUCCAUUGUCCUUCAGUUUUAUUCUGAUGAGAAGAAUUGGGGAUUUGUGUAAUUAAAUGGCAAGAAGUUACCUACCCUUAAUUCAUGCAUGUAAUUUCAUCCUUAAAAUAAUUUUAUUCAAAGUUUCAGACUUUUUUUACUUUUCUAUUUUUUAUGACAUGAUUUAAAAAAUUAGUAUUUUCUUUUGGUUAGCUGAGUAUUUUGGAGGCCUGUUAGUCUCCAAGGCCUUAGUUACUUACGGAUCCAUUAUGAAGGAAUAUGCAACCCAAUAUGUAAGAAUGUAGAAACAAAUUCCCAUCCUUUUGGUGAACCCUAGUCCAUGAGAUCAAUCAGCAGCUUUACAAGUUCUAUCCAACCUACCACACAAAAGGAUGUAAACACACUGUAGUACUGGUUAAUAAGUGGAGAUCCAACCAUUUACCCCAGUUUCAUUUUUAAA